AAAGCUAAUAGUAAACUCAGAUGUUUAAGAACAGUGAAGAAAUAAUGCUAAGAGAUUGGUUCGUAUAUGUUGAAUGAUUUCAGCAAAGUUUCUUAGCCUCUUUCUUCUUUCUUCAGCCUUUAUAUACUCCAAGACUUGUGAUGUAGCCGUUGCUAGGGUUUUGUCCGUUGGAGUGGCAAUCUUGUAAUAUCAGACUGCUAGGCUGAACAGGGUAGGUG
This 218-nucleotide long non-coding RNA is filed under the name Lotus japonicus. RNAcentral describes it as "long non-coding RNA (LJAP_LNC001600)". Lineage: Eukaryota; Viridiplantae; Streptophyta; Magnoliopsida; Fabales; Fabaceae. The record is from RNAcentral.